AUACGUAGGGGGCGAGCGUUAUCCGGAAUUAUUGGGCGUAAAGAGUACGUAGGUGGUUUCCUAAGCGAGGGGUUUAAGGCACUGGCUUAACCAAUGUUCGCCCCCCGAACUGGGGAACUUGAGUGCUGGAGAGGAAAGCGGAAUUCCUAGUGCAGCGGUGAAAUGCGUAGAUAUUAGGAGGAACACCAGUGGCGAAGGCGGCUUUCUGGACAGUAACUGACACUGAGGUACGAAAGUGUGGGGAGCAAACAGGAUUAGAUACCCUGGUAGUCCACACCGUAAACGAUGAGCACUAGGUGUCGGGCUCGCAAGAGUUCGGUGCCGCAGUUAACGCAUUAAGUGCUCCGCCUGGGGAGUACGUACGCAAGUAUGAAACUCAAAGGAAUUGACGGGG
RNAcentral lists this ribosomal RNA (394 nucleotides) under uncultured bacterium. RNAcentral's name for it is "partial 16S ribosomal RNA". It matches the Rfam family "Bacterial small subunit ribosomal RNA", at positions 523 to 918 of the family's 1533-position model. The record is from RNAcentral.